Molecule: ribosomal RNA, 484 nt
Filed under: uncultured bacterium
Lineage: Bacteria
Description: partial 16S ribosomal RNA
Rfam family: Bacterial small subunit ribosomal RNA
Source: RNAcentral
AUUGAACGCUGGCGGCAGGCCUAACACAUGCAAGUCGAGCGGAUGAAGGGAGCUUGCUCCUGGAUUCAGCGGCGGACGGGUGAUUAAUGCCUAGGAAUCUGCCUGGUAGUGGGGGAUAACGUCCGGAAACGGGCGCUAAUACCGCAUACGUCCUGAGGGAGAAAGUGGGGGAUCUUCGGACCUCACGCUAUCAGAUGAGCCUAGGUCGGAUUAGCUAGUUGGUGGGGUAAAGGCCUACCAAGGCGACGAUCCGUAACUGGUCUGAGAGGAUGAUCAGUCACACUGGAACUGAGACACGGUCCAGACUCCUACGGGAGGCAGCAGUGGGGAAUAUUGGACAAAGGGCGAAAGCCUGAUCCAGCCAUGCCGCGUGUGUGAAGAAGGUCUUCGGAUUGUAAAGCACUUUAAGUUGGGAGGAAGGGCAGUAAGUUAAUACCUUGCUGUUUUGACGUUACCAACAGAAUAAGCACCGGCUAACUUCGUG